AAAAAGAGAGAGAGAGGCAAACAUAAAUUGCUAGUUUGUGAUAACUAUGGGGAGAAAAGUAUGAGGAAAAUUAGGAUUUUGAAGAUGUGGAUGGAUGCUUACGAGAAGCAUUUGCUGUCAUCAAAAGACUGUAUGGAGAUCCAUUGCCAUUGAGAUAAUUAAAUCUUACAAAUUUCUUUUUAUCAUAUUCUUGGUGCUGUACAAGGCUUGUUGGGAAGUUUUCUUUAGCUUGCUGCUUAAUCUCUACUAGUAUACUUUGAUAGUUUGCUAUUCAUCUAGUGUCUGUAGUUGAGCAGCACCCCAAUUUUAGUUGUCACUUACUAUAAGGUUUUUUCCUGGCCAUCAAAUGAAAAAUCCCAUGAAAUAACACCAAAAAAAAAAAAGUUUAACAUGUGUUGAACAUGAAUGCCUUAACACUGGUGAAGAAAUAACCUGGCAUCAUACCAAAGCGUGCCUUUCUAAAACAAAUAUGUUGUCAAUGUGCAAUUGUUUAUGUGUAUGAGUUGCACUGGAUAAAUUGAAUGAUCUUCUCUGCCCAUGGUCAUCAUUUUUAAUUACUUGCCCACUCAGUAAUACAUAAGAAGUUUUGGUGUUGACGAUGCACAUUAAUGUUGGUCAUUCUGUCAACAUCUCAAACCAUAAAAUUUUCCAUAUGAUAAUAACUCGGCAAUUCUUGACCACAACAUUCUAUUAGCACCUUUAUAAAUAGUUGAUUUUAUUAGAUGUGAUCAAGUUCAGACAUCAGUAAGCAAUUGCGCAGGCAGUUGGUUUAUCAAGUGUGAUCAAGUUCAGACACAAGUAUGCAACCAUGCAAGUUCCAACAAAAAAAAAAUGGAGCAGAGGACACAGCAUCAUCGAGCAAAAGCAAUAC
This 871-nucleotide unclassified non-coding RNA is filed under the name Hevea brasiliensis (rubber tree). Lineage: Eukaryota; Viridiplantae; Streptophyta; Magnoliopsida; Malpighiales; Euphorbiaceae. The record is from RNAcentral.